Long non-coding RNA from Falco peregrinus (peregrine falcon), 918 nucleotides. RefSeq lists it as uncharacterized. The transcript has 3 exons. Lineage: Eukaryota; Metazoa; Chordata; Aves; Falconiformes; Falconidae. The record is from RefSeq and is a predicted model, not a curated record.
GGCGCUGCAGAGCGCCGUUACCGGGCCCCGGCCGGGCUGAGCGGCCGGGAGGGCCGCGCUCCGGCCUCACGACGUGCGAGCGCACGGUAGCGGCAGGCCGGCGGCAGCCGCGGGGCUAGCGCCCGUCAGGCCGCUGCUGCGGGCCGGGGGCACAGCGCCACGGGGGGAGGCCCGGCCUGCGGCUCCGCCGGCCGCCCGGGGACCCCACGGGCCGCUCCUGGCCUUGCUCCGCCGGGGCAGCGCGGUGCCGGCCUGCGCGCCGAGGGGCAGCGCUGCCCGCACGGGAGCAGCCGCCCGCAGCUGCUGCACAGCCUCGGCAAAACCACCCGGCACCAAGCGCGGGCAGCUUUUCGUCUGUGCGUGCAAAGGCCUUCAGCCCUUCUGGAAGGAUCGGUGCGUUUCAGAAGAUACACUGCUGCGUGAAGUCCCCCUACGUUCACCCACACAGUCUGAGCUUUGCGCCAGAUGUGUCCCAUUCGUGACAAGGCCUACAAUCAAAAAAACAAAACAGCCAAAGAGUGGUGGUAGCUUCAAGAUACAGUAAUAAUGUUGCAGAUACUGUCAAGUUUUAUUAAGUGAAAAAAUAAAGGAAGAAUCACCUCUAUUGGUAUUGCACAUGUACCACACAUGGGAUCAACUAUGAUAUCCGUGGGCUGUGGAUCACAGAGUCUGAGGAACAGAAGAAAAGACAGGAUGAGAAAAAGGAAUUUCUGUAAGGAAGAAAAACGGAACUUUAAUCACUCUGAUUCUACCCUUCUAACAAAAAAACUAUGUGAUUAUUUUGCUUAUAAAAUGGUAAUUAAUGAACAGAAGAAAUACUUUCAAGAAUGUGCUAAGGUAUUUUGAAAAUUGUCUAACAGCAAAUGUUUACUUAGCUGGAAAACAUACACUUAAUUACAAAGCACGCUGUUUCAGCAA